GAUGAACGCUGGCGGCGUGCCUAAUACAUGCAAGUCGAGCGAACAGACGAGGAGCUUGCUCCUCUGACGUUAGCGGCGGACGGGUGAGUAACACGUGGAUAACCUACCUAUAAGACUGGGAUAACUUCGGGAAACCGGAGCUAAUACCGGAUAAUAUAUUGAACCGCAUGGUUCAAUAGUGAAAGACGGUUUUGCUGUCACUUAUAGAUGGAUCCACGCCGCAUUAGCUAGUUGGUAAGGUAACGGCUUACCAAGGCAACGAUGCGUAGCCGACCUGAGAGGGUGAUCGGCCACACUGGAACUGAGACACGGUCCAGACUCCUACGGGAGGCAGCAGUAGGGAAUCUUCCGCAAUGGGCGAAAGCCUGACGGAGCAACGCCUCGCGAGUGAUGAAGGUCUUCGGAUCGUAAAACUCUGUUAUUAGGGAAGAACAAAUGUGUAAGUAACUAUGCACGUCUUGACGGUACCUAAUCAGAAAGCCACGGCUAACUACGUG
Molecule: ribosomal RNA, 497 nt
Filed under: uncultured bacterium
Lineage: Bacteria
Description: partial 16S ribosomal RNA
Rfam family: Bacterial small subunit ribosomal RNA
Source: RNAcentral